UACGAAGGGGGCUAGCGUUGUUCGGAAUUACUGGGCGUAAAGCGUGCGCAGGCGGCUUCUCAAGUCAGGGGUGAAAGCCCAGAGCUCAACUCUGGAAUUGCCUUUGAGACUGAGUGGCUUGAGUACGGGAGAGGUGAGUGGAACUGCGAGUGUAGAGGUGAAAUUCGUAGAUAUUCGCAAGAACACCAGUGGCGAAGGCGGCUCACUGGUCCGGAUCUGACGCUGAGGCGCGAAAGCGUGGGGAGCAAACAGG
This 253-nucleotide ribosomal RNA is filed under the name uncultured bacterium. RNAcentral describes it as "partial 16S ribosomal RNA". It matches the Rfam family "Bacterial small subunit ribosomal RNA", at positions 524 to 776 of the family's 1533-position model. The record is from RNAcentral.